Molecule: long non-coding RNA, 781 nt
Filed under: Cyanistes caeruleus (blue tit)
Lineage: Eukaryota; Metazoa; Chordata; Aves; Passeriformes; Paridae
Description: lncRNA (ENSCCEG00000016170.1)
Source: RNAcentral
CAUGCAGUUGUAACUUCUUCAGUGUGUGAUUAUCUUUUGACUUUUCUAUUUAUUUAUUUUUUUUAAGAUCUUUAUGGUUAUGGCAAAAUCUUUCAUCAUCAGCAGAUGGUAUAAUGGACUACCAGUUGGAUGAUACACAGUCGUCUGAAACAUGAUAUAUACUUCUCCUCAUCCGUGUCCAUGGUCACCAAUGAAGCUAUUGAAAAAUAUAAGCUGCUGAAACUUGCCUUUAAAAUAAGGUAAGAAUUAAUUUCUCAUUUUAUUUUUAAUUAUUGUCAAUGUUACUAUCAAUGUUAUUGUAUAGUUUAACUAAUAGCAGAGAGUAGUUUUAAGUACGUUUACCCAAAUUAAGGGUAUUAUCUUAAGACUUAUGUGAAAAGUGCCUUCACAAAUCACGAUGUGGAAAGCAGGUAAGAAUCACUGCACAGUGUCUGUGUCUCCUCUAACUGAUUAUUCCUGUAGCUGGCACCAGUAACAGCAAAAAUGUAGGAAAGAGGAAACUGGUAAAGAAUACAGAGCUUCUGAUAAGCAAUUUUUAUUUCUCAGCUCAGGGAAACAAAAUCUAGGCAUUCAAAAACUAAUUAAGUACUUGAGAAAGGGAGGCAUGAGAUUCAUAAGUUUAAUUCAUGUUGUUACAACAGGCAUCCACAGUUCAAUUUUGCAUUCAUUGCUUUGAGAUGAGGUUUGUAUUAAAUCUGAGUAAAUUUAUUCAGAAUUUUAUGUAAGGCUUGGGGGGUUUUGGUUUUGUUUUUUUUUCCUUUUAUUGUUGUCAAAUAAUUUU